Molecule: ribosomal RNA, 274 nt
Filed under: uncultured bacterium
Lineage: Bacteria
Description: partial 16S ribosomal RNA
Rfam family: Bacterial small subunit ribosomal RNA
Source: RNAcentral
GAUGAACGCUAGCGGCAGGCCUAAUACAUGCAAGUUGAACGAGAUUAGAGAGCUUGCUCUCUAUGAAAGUGGCGCACGGGUGCGUAACGCGUAUGCAAUCUACCUUAAUCAGGGGGAUAGCCCGGAGAAAUCCGGAUUAAUACCGCAUAAUAUAAUUGAAUGGCAUCAUUUAAUUAUCAAACAUUUAUGGGAUUAAGAUGAGCAUGCGUGACAUUAGUUAGUUGGUGAGGUAACGGCUCACCAAGACUACGAUGUCUAGGGGAUCUGAGAGGAU